This 577-nucleotide unclassified non-coding RNA is filed under the name Penicillium fuscum. RNAcentral describes it as "sequence contains 18S rRNA gene, ITS1, 5.8S rRNA gene, ITS2, 28S rRNA gene". The stretch from base 217 to 370 matches the Rfam family "5.8S ribosomal RNA". Lineage: Eukaryota; Fungi; Ascomycota; Eurotiomycetes; Eurotiales; Aspergillaceae. The record is from RNAcentral.
UCGUAACAAGGUUUCCGUAGGUGAACCUGCGGAAGGAUCAUUACUGAGUGAGGGCCCUCUGGGUCCAACCUCCCACCCGUGUUUAUUGUACCUUGUUGCUUCGGUGCGCCCGCCUCACGGCCGCCGGGGGGCUUCUGCCCCCGGGCCCGCGCCCACCGAAGACACCAUUGAACUCUGUCUGAAGAUUGCAGUCUGAGCAUAAACUAAAUAAGUUAAAACUUUCAACAACGGAUCUCUUGGUUCCGGCAUCGAUGAAGAACGCAGCGAAAUGCGAUAACUAAUGUGAAUUGCAGAAUUCAGUGAAUCAUCGAGUCUUUGAACGCACAUUGCGCCCCCUGGUAUUCCGGGGGGCAUGCCUGUCCGAGCGUCAUUGCUGCCCUCAAGCACGGCUUGUGUGUUGGGCUCCGUCCCCCCGGGGACGGGCCCGAAAGGCAGCGGCGGCACCGAGUCCGGUCCUCGAGCGUAUGGGGCUUUGUCACCCGCUCUGUAGGCCCGGCCGGCGCCAGCCGACAACCCAUCAUCCUUUUCAGGUUGACCUCGGAUCAGGUAGGGAUACCCGCUGAACUUAAGCAUAUCA